AAAACAUGUCCUUUGGAUUAUUUAUAUAAGGUCUAACCUGUCCAAUGAGUAAUUGAAUGACCGCGGUAUUUUAACCGUGCUAAGGUAGCAUAAUCAUUUGUCUUUUGAUUGGAGGCUGGAAUGAAUGGUUGGACGAGACAUAAGCUUUCUUUAAUUUAUUAAAAGAACUUAAUUUUUUAGUUAAAAAGCUAAAAUUAUUUUAUAGGACGAGAAGACCCUAUAGAUCUUUAUGUAUAAUUUAAUUAUGUAAUUUAGGGAAUAUUUUAUUUUGAUUAAUUAAUAUAUUUGGUUGGGGUGACUGUAGAAUUUAAUGGACUUCUGUUAAUUUUAUUUCAUUAAUAAAUGUUUUAUGAUCCACUUAUAGUGAUUAAAAGAUUAAGUUACCUUAGGGAUAACAGCGUAAUUUUUUCGGAGAGUUCUUAUUGAUGAAGAAGUUUGCGACCUCGAUGUUGGAUUAAAAUAAGUGGUAGGCGCAGUAGCCUAUCAACUGGGUCUGUUCGACCUUUAAUUUUUUACAUGAUCUGA
Molecule: ribosomal RNA, 525 nt
Filed under: Censorinus ferrugineus
Lineage: Eukaryota; Metazoa; Arthropoda; Insecta; Hemiptera; Reduviidae
Description: partial 16S ribosomal RNA
Rfam family: Bacterial large subunit ribosomal RNA
Source: RNAcentral